This 1115-nucleotide long non-coding RNA is filed under the name Triticum aestivum (bread wheat). Its description in RNAcentral is "long non-coding RNA (TAES_LNC013277)". Lineage: Eukaryota; Viridiplantae; Streptophyta; Magnoliopsida; Poales; Poaceae. The record is from RNAcentral.
UCUCCUCAUUCCGCAAUUCAGAGCCUAGUUACUUUAUGAGCCAAUAUAUGCAUCAAUUCAGGAUCCUCCAGUGUAUAAACUGGUACUUUCAAAUCACAUUGCAGCUUUUUGUUGAAGAAACAAUUUGCACAUUCAGUUACAUCGGCAUGAGCGUCGGUGCAGCUGACAUCGUGCUCUCCUAAUAGCCAUUUAUGCAGGGCGAAAAGUUGCAUUACAAAAAGAAAUAGAUAUCGAAGACAGUAUCAUGGGUUGAAUCAAGAUGUCAACAUGUGGCUGCAAACUUGCAGUUCCUACAGGAUUAAACAAAAAAUAACAUAUAUUGCCUAAUUGGGCCAGGCGUCACAGCGGCGUUAGUCCAUAAUAUGGAAUCAGCACGGAGUAGGCCCAGAGAGCGGUGGCGGCUGCGAGACGGGGCGACGGCGUCGGUCUGCUUGCCUCGGUAAUGUAUAAAUUGGUAUAAUUGUACCCUCAACCUGAACAUAGGCUCCUACAGUACACCCAUUUCUAAUUUUAUGUAUAACUGAGAGCCAUUUAUAUGCCCAAAUCUGAUCUUAGAAAGAGUAUGGAUCAGAUUUAGCUCUUAGAUAUAUAUACCUAAAUUAAGCAAGCAUUCAGAUAUGACAUUCGUUUCCAGAGCAACAUAGGAAUAAUUCUUAACUCCCAACCGAAGGCUUUACCAUAUUUUCAGGGAUUUGCGUGCAAACUUGUUUAGUCAUCAAUCCACAAUAUAUGUAUUUCUAUUUCUUUGUAACCCUUUUGUUUUCUUGGCGCAAAAAAAAUUUAUAGUAGGGCCAUGCCUUACUGUUCCGGGUAACAAAAAAAUGUCAAUCUAUUAACCAGUGUAAUCAAUCAUGUUUGGAAAUAAUGGUACAUAGGAUCUGGGUCGUUGGUUCUUUUGGAUGAAGUGGUAGGACCUGGGCUUAAUCUACGAAUUUAACAAAUUGUUUAUAAACAGAAUGAUCUUGCUUUUGGAGAGUUGAAUCAGCUCACCUUCACGCAGGAAAAAAUGAUGUGUUACGAUCUACAGAGCUCCCCUCGACUAUAGAAUCCAAUUCACUGGCCUCGAUCGCUCUGUCGCAGUUCCAACCAACCCAUCAACAGUGAGCUCUAACAGA